This 253-nucleotide ribosomal RNA is filed under the name uncultured bacterium. Its description in RNAcentral is "partial 16S ribosomal RNA". It matches the Rfam family "Bacterial small subunit ribosomal RNA", at positions 524 to 776 of the family's 1533-position model. The record is from RNAcentral.
UACGAGAGGUCCAAACGUUAUUCGGAAUCACUGGGCUUACAGAGUUCGUAGGCGGUCCAGAAAGUGGGGUGUGAAAGCCCUCGGCUUAACCGAGGAACUGCGCUCCAAACUACUGGGCUAGAGGAAGAUAGAGGUGAGCAGAACUGAUGGUGGAGCGGUGAAAUGCGUUGAUAUCAUCAGGAAUACCGGAGGCGAAGGCGGCUCACUGGGGGUUUUCUGACGCUGAGGAACGAAAGCCAGGGGAGCAAACGGG